This 253-nucleotide ribosomal RNA is filed under the name uncultured bacterium. RNAcentral describes it as "partial 16S ribosomal RNA". It matches the Rfam family "Bacterial small subunit ribosomal RNA", at positions 524 to 776 of the family's 1533-position model. The record is from RNAcentral.
UACGAAGGGGGCUAGCGUUGCUCGGAAUCACUGGGCGUAAAGCGCGUGUAGGCGGUCCGGUAAGUCCGCUGUGAAAGUCGGGGGCUCAACCCUCGGAUGCCGGUGGAUACUGUCGGGCUUGAGUACGGAAGAGGCGAGUGGAAUUCCUGGUGUAGCGGUGAAAUGCGCAGAUAUCAGGAGGAACACCAAUUGCGAAGGCAGCUCGCUGGGACGUUACUGACGCUGAGGAGCGAAAGCGUGGGGAGCGAACAGG